This is a long non-coding RNA of Anser brachyrhynchus (Pink-footed goose), 1666 nucleotides long. The record is from Ensembl. Lineage: Eukaryota; Metazoa; Chordata; Aves; Anseriformes; Anatidae.
CUCUGGGCUGCAGCCACGCACUGCUGGCUCAUGUCGAACUUUUAGUCCACCAGAACCCUGCGAUCCCUCUCUGCAGGGCUGCUCUCUGUAGGUUCUUCCCCCAGUCUGUGCUCAUGUCCACCCUGUCCCAGGUGCAGCACCCUGCACUUGGACUUGUUGAACCUCAUUGGGUUCGUGUGGGCCCACUUCUCAAGCUCGUCCAGGUCCCUUUGGAUGCAUCCCUUCCUUCUGGUGGAUCAACUGCACCACUCAGCUUGGUGUCAUCUGCCAAUUUGCUGAGGGUGCACUCAAUCCCAUCAUCUAUAUCAUUGAUGAAGAUAUUGAAAAGCACUGGUCCCAGGACAGACCCCUGAGGGACACCACUUGUCACCGGCCUCCACCUGGACACGGAGCCAUUGACCACCACACUCUGGGUACAAACUUCAAGCCAAUUCCUUAUCCACCGAAUGGUCCACCCUUCAGAUCCAUCUCUCUCCAAUUUGGAGAUUAGGAUGUCAUGUGGGACUGUGGCAAAGGCCUUACAGAAAUCCAGGUAGAUGAUGUUUGCUGGUCUUCCCUCAUCAACCGAUGCAGUCACAGAAGGCCACCAGGUUGGUCAGGCACAAUUUGCCCUUGGUGAAGCCAUGCUGGCUGUCUCGGAUCACCUCUUUGUCUUGCAUGUGCCUUGACAUUGCUUCCAGGAGGAUCUGUUCCAUGAUCCUCCCAGGCACAGAGGUGAGGCUCACUGGUCUGUAGCUCCUGGGUCCUCCUUUCCAUCUCUUUUAAAGAUGGGAGUGAUGUUUCCCUUUUUCCAGUCACCAGGAACUUCACCUGACUGCCAGGACUUUUCAAAUAGGAUGGAGAGAGGCAUGGCAACUCCAUCAGCCACCUCCCUCAGGGCCCUGGGAUGCACGGCAUCGGGCCACACAGACUUGUACCUGCUCAGUUGCAUCAGGAGGUCCCGAACCUGCUCUUCACUUACAGUGGGAAGGACUUGGCUCCCCCAGCCCCUGCCCGGAGGUUCGGAGAGAUGUGGGAAGCAGGGGAGGAGGGAGGGGAGGCAGGGUACUGGCGGCAGGGAAGAAGCCUCAAAGCCUGAGAGGGGCUCUCACCGGUGCUGCGCUGCAAGGACAGGCAGGAAAGCAAGCACAGGUCAGUGCUCUGGGCGGUUCCCUCAGCAGCUUCUUUUCAGCUCUUCUGUGCUCCCUGUAAGUAUGGCUGUUGGUGGUAGGACUCCCUCGAAUCCCGGUUGUGCAGCACUGCUGGGUUUUUGGGGGGUUAAUGGAUUGUGGGAAGCCAAAGAUCCAUUGCAAUGUGGCUUUGUGUGCUGGCGUCAAGGCUUCUUAGUGCACAUAUGUGGCUGUUUCAGAUGUUUCACAACUGAAAGCUGCUGUACAAGAGCAGUGCAGCCUUCCAGGAUUCUGUCCUCAGGAAGAGUGCUGCUCUCCGGGGUGGGGUGCCCAUGCGGUGUGCCCAGGUGUGCAGCGCUCUGCACGCGCAGCCGAUGUGCUUCCUGCUGAGACCCGCGCCACUCGCAGCCCAGUCGGGGGAAAGGAAGGCUUCUUUUCCUGCAGGCAGCAUUAUUAAGUGUGCAGAGCUUCACCCAAGGGACAAGGGCCUGUGAUGCUCUGGCUCUGCAGAGGAGAGUGGAUGCGCGCCUGGCUGUCCUAGUUGCCUGUGGCAUUGG